This 460-nucleotide ribosomal RNA is filed under the name uncultured bacterium. RNAcentral describes it as "partial 16S ribosomal RNA". It matches the Rfam family "Bacterial small subunit ribosomal RNA", at positions 338 to 795 of the family's 1533-position model. The record is from RNAcentral.
CCUACGGGCGGCUGCAGUGAGGAAUAUUGGUCAAUGGGCGCAAGCCUGAACCAGCCAAGUAGCGUGCAGGAUGACUGCCCUACGGGUUGUAAACUUCUUUUGUACAAGAGUAAAGUGAGGCACGUGUGCCUUUUUGUAUGUACUUUAUGAAUAAGGAUCGGCUAACUCCGUGCCAGCAGCCGCGGUAAUACGGAGGAUCCAAGCGUUAUCCGGAUUUAUUGGGUUUAAAGGGAGCGUAGAUGGGUUGUUAAGUCAGUUGUGAAAGUUUGGGGCUCAACCGUAAAAUUGCCAUUGAUACUGGCAGCCUUGAGUACAGAUGAGGUAGGCGGAAUGCGUGGUGUAGCGGUGAAAUGCUUAGAGAUCACGAAGAACUCCGAUUGCGAAGGCAGCUUACUAAUCUGCCACUGACAUUGAUGCUCGAAAGUGUGGGUAGCAAACAGGAUUAGAUACCCCGGUAGUC